Thalictrum thalictroides is the source of this 98-nucleotide non-coding RNA. The record is from the annotation of a GenBank genome assembly. NCBI's taxonomy places the organism in Eukaryota, Viridiplantae, Streptophyta, Magnoliopsida, Ranunculales, Ranunculaceae.
UUGCAAUGGUGUGGCUUUUUUGCUUAACGAAAGUGUUGUGCUUAAUGAGAGCUCAACAUGGUGGAGACCACGUUGAUCUUGAGCGGUUACCUGAGCAA